This 232-nucleotide long non-coding RNA is filed under the name Dermacentor andersoni. Its description in RNAcentral is "uncharacterized LOC126544527". The record is from RNAcentral. Lineage: Eukaryota; Metazoa; Arthropoda; Arachnida; Ixodida; Ixodidae.
UUACAGUAGGACCCCUGUUGACAAAGUUUACUCUGGUGCAGCGCUUCCAGGUCUAUUUUCAACGUUCUCCACGUUUGGAACAUUUUGCAGUAACACAAGCAGCGCCGCAAUUAUAAGUCAGCCACCAAGCAGUUGGAGUUAUUGGCUGACUGUGCAAGCGACGGCAGAAAUGUUUCGAACAAGAAACUUCAUACAGUUCACGAUGGAAGACAUAGAAAAAAUGAAAAACACC